CAGCCGCCGCGGUAAUACGAAGGGGGCGAGCGUUGUCCGGAAUUAUUGGGCGUAAAGCGCGUGUAGGCGGCUCAGCAAGUCCGCUCUGAAAGCCCAGGGCUCAACCCUGGGAUGCGGGUGGAUACUGCUGAGCUCGAGUCCGGAAGAGGCGAGUGGAAUUCCUGGUGUAGCGGUGAAAUGCGCAGAUAUCAGGGGGAACACCAAUGGCGAAGGCAGCUCGCUGGGACGUGACUGACGCUGAGACGCGAAAGCGUGGGGAGCAAACAGGAUUAGAUACCCCCGUAGUCCCUGUCUCUUAUAC
This 301-nucleotide ribosomal RNA is filed under the name uncultured bacterium. RNAcentral's name for it is "partial 16S ribosomal RNA". It matches the Rfam family "Bacterial small subunit ribosomal RNA", at positions 509 to 807 of the family's 1533-position model. The record is from RNAcentral.